Long non-coding RNA from Calidris pugnax (ruff), 1880 nucleotides. RefSeq lists it as uncharacterized. The record is from RefSeq and is a predicted model, not a curated record. The transcript has 3 exons. NCBI's taxonomy places the organism in Eukaryota, Metazoa, Chordata, Aves, Charadriiformes, Scolopacidae.
GAGAACGGCGGGGCCCUGCCCGCCAGCCCCCCCGCGCCCGCGUACCUUCCGCAUGGCAGCUGGAGGAGAGGAUGGCGCUGGGCGGCCGGAAGAUGUACGGCAGAUAACGCGAGAAGCAUUUCAUCUUCCAAAACGCAUUUCUCAGAAACAGUUGCUGCUGAAGGCAUUCAUGAAGAGUUUUUGACAACAAGAAUGUGAAGUUGGAUCUCUGAACUCUUCAAAAUACGAAGCACCUACAAAACAAAAGCCAGUUGCAUAUAAGGUGUCCAAGACAUUGAGAAAAUUCAUCUGGAACUCCUGAUUUCCACUAUUAAUCUCUGACCGCUGUGACAUGGCCUCCUGUCUUCUCUACUAGUUGAGUCCAGACAGACACAUGAAAAGUGUCCUGAAUAACAGAAUGAGCAUCUUCUUAGUUUGCAUUCAAGCAGUGCUUUAUGGUUGGGUGUAAGCUUGCUUCGAAUUUCACUCUGGGCCUAGAAAUAAUGUGAGAGCUGGUUAAAGACCAGGACUUGUUCCUGUCCUCACCACUGUAGUUCUCACGUUUACACCAGGGACCAUUUUUUCCCUCUUUGCGCUGGAAAUGCUGAGAGCAGCAGACGAGGUUUCUUGGCCUGUGGUACCUCCUGACUCCUGAAGCACAAAUCCUGCAAUAUUACAGAAACCAGGUUGGAAAAAAAGCCUUUAGUAACAGAGUUCACAUUUGAUACGUUGGGGAGGAUUGAUUUAAAGAAUGCUGCUGUGUUUUUUAAGUUUUAUUGCAGACUUCACUUCUGCAAAUUCUCCAUGGACCAUGUAGACAUCCCCUGUAAUUCUUGGACUUGCUUCUUUCAAAGCACCAGCUCUGGCUGUAAGGGUAGGAUUUCACUAAUGAAGUGCACAUCUUGUGAUAUUGAUGUAUAAAGAAAGCUUGCCUGCAAGCGUGGUCCCUCUCUUCCCCGCAUGCAAAUUAAAUGCCUUUCUAUUCUAAGAAUUCGAAGAACUCUUUUAAAAAUCAAAUAUGCCUGGGAAAAAGCUGCACGUGGAUAUUGAUUAGUUUUAUGAUGUCUGCUCUAAUUGCAUUGCAUUCAGUCCUGGAACAAGGUGAGCCCUCAACGAUGUAUAGGGGUGGGCGAGCAUCUGUUUGGGUUGCACGUGGCAGUCUGUUGAUGGGAUUGGGUAAUGUACACCAGUGGGUUCCAGCAAAGCAAUUUUGCAAUCUCUUUACCAGGAGUAGUAUUAUGGGAGGAAUAUGGAGCUUCAGUUAACAUUACCAUUAAUAUAUAAAAGCUUUUUAUGCAGUAGUCUUCUCUGUAGAGUAUGGCCUCCCUCUGGAGAAACUUUACAUUCUGAAAUCCUGUUCUGCUUUAAUUUCUAGUGACCCCUAGCUGAAGAGUCCUGGCACUUCACACCCUGCAGCUCUUACUCAGCCUGUUCUCCAAGCUGGAGCUCAGACCCUAACAGCAAUCUUGCAGGGACUGGUGUAUUGAAAAAUUCUCUUUUAAUUCAGGCUCUGGGAUACUGUGGUUUGCGUUAUGAAAAAGUUAUGCGAGAUGUUUUUGGACAAGCCACCCAACAGCACGUGUCAGGAGGGGGUGCAGUGACUCUGUGAGGUCCCAGGAGUCUGUGAAUUGGGUAAGUCACACACAGGCUUCCCUUUUUUUGAGCUGGAUCUGUUUGGUAGCAGCGAUUUUAAAAUCACAGUACUUUUUAAACCAAAAUGAGCCCGUGAUACUGGCAGGGUAUCUGCAAUUCUGCAUUGCUUUAGAUGUUUUGUGCUGGUCAAUGGGUGCAACCUUCGCUCCCCCGCAGAACGCCUUCUUGCUGCUUUGCUGGAGUUUGUGCAGGGAUGUGUCAGUGGCAGAACUGACUGUUCUCCUUUCCCUACAGCUCUGCUAGUUACU